This is a long non-coding RNA of Brassica oleracea var. oleracea, 320 nucleotides long. RefSeq lists it as uncharacterized. NCBI's taxonomy places the organism in Eukaryota, Viridiplantae, Streptophyta, Magnoliopsida, Brassicales, Brassicaceae. The record is from RefSeq and is a predicted model, not a curated record. The transcript has 2 exons.
UGUCUUCAGGCGCAACGUCACUGUGGUUACUAUCUAUUCAUCUUUGGGAGAGGAAGCUCUUUGUCACUCGCUCAAUGAGAUAUGUUGAUUGUGUUCACGUCAACCCACAAGAAAUAGAGAGUUACAUCGUUUCUAAAUAAAUAGAAGGAGCACUCUCCAUUUUUUUAUCUCUCUUACAGUACGAAGCGGCAAAAAAAAAACACACCAUUAAUAAAUAAAUCAGGAUAUUGUGAUCAUCCUUAUAUAAUCAGUUUCCUCUGUUGUUGUAUAUUUUCGCAAGAGUUAUUAUGUUGAAAUUUAUUACAAGAAGUUUGUGUUCU